This is a long non-coding RNA of Chelonia mydas (Green sea turtle), 1539 nucleotides long. RefSeq lists it as uncharacterized. The transcript has 4 exons. The record is from RefSeq and is a predicted model, not a curated record. Lineage: Eukaryota; Metazoa; Chordata; Testudines; Cheloniidae.
CUGUGCAGUUGCAGUCAGAAUAUCACAGAGCAAAUAAUUUUCCUCUUUCAAUCAUGCUGACCCUCUUAUAGCCGGACAGACAGUUUCUGUCUCUCUCUGACUCCUCAGAGGAUUUUGAGACAGGACUAGACGGGUACACCUCCUCAAGUUCUAUUCCUGGACUCCUGCUCACCGACCAGAGGACACCUCCACAGAAUGUACCAGAAAUGAGUGAAGAGGCAGAUCUGAAAUUUCAAACUCCUUCCAAGCAGCAGAAGAAAAAGACACCUAAGAACACCAGGGCCAAAGAUGUGGAAAUAAACCGGGAGGUGGUGACCUACACAGAACUGAAAUGCCAGAAUGCUUCUGAGCGGCAGAGGAGAUGAAGGACUAUGAACCCCCAGGGCAAAGGUUCUUUUGCUCCAUCUUCUGUAUGGAGGCUCAUUAUAAUGAUUCUUAGGCUCUUCUGCCUGGCUUUGCUGAUAGCAGUGGGUUUCUUGAGUGUCAAAGGUAAAGUAUGAUCAAAGAAGGCACUAAAAGGCCAAAUAAUUCUGAGCUGACAUAGUCUUUAAUCAAUGGCGUGUGAAUUGCAUUGUGUGUGCUGCACUUCUGAAAAUCACUUCUUUAUUUAUCUAAUUAUGGAUUUAGGGAACAGGACAGGGGAACCAGCUGGGCUCCUGCACAUUCUUCUUCACCCUGCAGGAUUUUCUAGGGACAGCUGCAGCAAGAGAGUCCCUGACAUCACAACAACUGUGUAGCUGUCUUGCCCAGGAACCAAAGAUCCAUGUAGGUUCCUGGCCCUCAACGCAAAGCACAGACAUUCUGGUGGAAUCUGGGGUCUGAACCCCCAGCAUCUGCAACAUGAAGCAACCUAUGGCCAACAAUAAAAUACUUCCUAGGAAGCUUCAGGUCUUGAAACUUCUGCAAUUUUCUCUUCCUAAUGCAGUUAUUUCUUGGCUUCCUUGCAAAGAUUCCACUUACCAUUUUCUUCUUAAAUUUCUAAUUUUUUCUUUGGGUGCCUAACUUGGAAAAUGACAUAUUUAUGCUUUGUGGUAAUUUCAAACAAUCACUUUUGUGACUAAAAUGUUAGAAACCUGGAUAUUUCCAAUUGCAUUUUUCUCACCAUCUUCAUAGAGUCAGGAUUUUUAGCCAGACACAAUUUUUAUUUUUAAUUUCAAGAUGUUUAUUUUAAAAUUAAUAUUUACUUACUUAAAAAUUUCCCGAUGUGUUAAUAGUAACAUGAUAACAUACUAUUAUAAAUAUGUAUUAGAUAUACAGUAUAUUAGAUAUAUGAGAUAUAUUAUAUAUUAGAUAUACAGUAACUGAUGGCACAAUUGGGCCCAUUGUGUCCCUGAAAGGCACAGUGCAUUGAUCUGUAACACUAUGAUUACAUUUAGUUUUAAGCAGUCCAUCAUAUUGUUAUGCUAUUUUGGCUUUCAGUUUUUCAGUUCUUCUGUUCCCUUCCCUCAGAUGUAUCAUCUAGUUCACUCUCCACAUUAGUACCUGUGGAGAGCACAUGAAAAUGGUUGCUUACCUCUAUCUGCAUUGCUGGUACAUGGA